Clonorchis sinensis is the source of this 191-nucleotide small nuclear RNA. It matches the Rfam family "U2 spliceosomal RNA". Rfam says of the family: U2 is a small nuclear RNA (snRNA) component of the spliceosome (involved in pre-mRNA splicing). Complementary binding between U2 snRNA (in an area lying towards the 5' end but 3' to hairpin I) and the branchpoint sequence (BPS) of the intron results the bulging out of an unpaired adenosine, on the BPS, which initiates a nucleophilic attack at the intronic 5' splice site, thus starting the first of two transesterification reactions that mediate splicing. The record is from Rfam. Lineage: Eukaryota; Metazoa; Platyhelminthes; Trematoda; Opisthorchiida; Opisthorchiidae.
CUCACUUCUCGGCUCCCUGAGCUAAGAUCAUGUGUAGUAUCUGUUCUUUGUAGUCUAAUUUCCGCAACGGUCUCUUAAGUGAAACUGAUGAAAUUGCCUGUAUUCUUCUGUGAGACUGUGCUGUGAGAUUGCUCAACCCCGUCCACGGGUCAGUCUUGUAUUGCAUUAACUCGAGGAUUGGCCCAUUAUUC